UGCAGUCGAACGGCAGCGCGGACUUCGGUCUGGCGGCGAGUGGCGAACGGGCGAUUAAUAUAUCGGAACGUGCCCAGUAGCGGGGGAUAACUACUCGAAAGAGUAGCUAAUACCGCAUACGCCCUACGGGGGAAAGGGGGGGAUCGCAAGACCUCUCACUAUUGGAGCGGCCGCUAUCGGAUUAGCUAGUUGGUGGGGUAAAGGCCCACCAAGGCGACGAUCCGUAGCUGGUUUGAGAGGACGACCAGCCACACUGGGACUGAGACACGGCCCAGACUCCUACGGGAGGCAGCAGUGGGGAAUUUUGGACAAUGGGGGAAACCCUGAUCCAGCCAUUCCGCGUGUGCGAUGAAGGCCUUCGGGUUGUAAAGCACUUUUGGCAGGAAAGAAAUCGCACAAAUUAAUACUUUGUGUGGAUGACGGUACCUGCAGAAUAAGCACCGGCUAACUACGUGCCAGCAGCCGCGGUAAUACGUAGGGUGCAAGCGUUAAUCGGAAUUACUGGGCGUAAAGCGUGCGCAGGCGGUUCGGAAAGAGAGGUGUGAAAUCCCAGGGCUUAACCUUGGAACUGCACUUUUAACUCCCGAGCUAGAGUAUGUCAGAGGGGGGUGGAAUUCCGCGUGUAGCAGUGAAAUGCGUAGAUAUGCGGAGGAACACCGAUGGCGAAGGCAGCCCCCUGGGAUAAUACUGACGCUCAUGCACGAAAGCGUGGGGAGCAAGCAGGAUUAGAUACCCUGGUAGUCCACGCCCUAAACGAUGUCAACUAGCUGUUGGGGGCUUCGGCCCUUAGUAGCGCAGCUAACGCGUGAAGUUGACCGCCUGGGGAGUACGGUCGCAAGAUUAAAACUCAAAGGAAUUGACGGGGACCCGCACAAGCGGUGGAUGAUGUGGAUUAAUUCGAUGCUACGCGAAAAACCUUACCUACCCUUGACAUGUCUGGAAUCCCCGAAGAGAUUUGGGAGUGCU
Molecule: ribosomal RNA, 966 nt
Filed under: uncultured Alcaligenaceae bacterium
Lineage: Bacteria; Pseudomonadati; Pseudomonadota; Betaproteobacteria; Burkholderiales; Alcaligenaceae
Description: bacterial SSU rRNA
Rfam family: Bacterial small subunit ribosomal RNA
Source: RNAcentral